Molecule: unclassified non-coding RNA, 334 nt
Filed under: soil metagenome
Description: partial contains 5.8S ribosomal RNA, internal transcribed spacer 2, and large subunit ribosomal RNA
Rfam family: 5.8S ribosomal RNA (bases 1-120)
Source: RNAcentral
GAUGAAGAACGUAGCGAAAUGCGAUAAGUAAUGUGAAUUGCAGAGUUUUGUGAAUCAUCGAAUCUUUGAACGCACAUUGCGCCCGCCAGCACUCUGGCGGGCAUGCCUGUUCGAGCGUCAUUUCAACCAUCAAGCCCCAGGCUUGCGUUGGAGCCCUGCGGCUGCCGCAGCCUCCUAAAAGCAGUGGCGGGCUCGCUAUCACACCGAGUGCAGUAGAUUACUCUUCGCUCAGGGCGUGCAGCGGGUUCCGGCCGUGAAACCCCCUACUUUUAAAGGUUGACCUCGGAUCAGGUAGGAAUACCCGCUGAACUUAAGCAUAUCAAUAAGCGGAGGA